This 497-nucleotide ribosomal RNA is filed under the name uncultured bacterium. Its description in RNAcentral is "partial 16S ribosomal RNA". It matches the Rfam family "Bacterial small subunit ribosomal RNA", at positions 28 to 507 of the family's 1533-position model. The record is from RNAcentral.
GACGAACGCUGGCGGCGUGCCUAAUACAUGCAAGUUGAGCGCUGAAGGUUGGUACUUGUACCAACUGGAUGAGCAGCGAACGGGUGAGUAACGCGUGGGGAAUCUGCCUUUGAGCGGGGGACAACAUUUGGAAACGAAUGCUAAUACCGCAUAAAAACUUUAAACACAAGUUUUAAGUUUGAAAGAUGCAAUUGCAUCACUCAAAGAUGAUCCCGCGUUGUAUUAGCUAGUUGGUGAGGUAAAGGCUCACCAAGGCGAUGAUACAUAGCCGACCUGAGAGGGUGAUCGGCCACCUUGGGAAUGAGACACGGCCCAAAAUCCUACGGGGGGGAGCAGUAGGGGAGCUUCGGCAAUGGACGAAAGUCUGACCGAGCAACGCCGGGUGAGUGAAGAAGGUUUUCGGAUCGUAAAACUCUGUUGGUAGAGAAGAACGUUGGUGAGAGUGGAAAGCUCAUCAAGUGACGGUAACUACCCAGAAAGGGACGGCUAACUACGUG